CUUCAUCACUGCCCUGGCAUCAGCCUCCGCAUGCAAGGCCACCACAGCCACCAGGUGGGGGGGUCCGUCCCUGCUGCCCAACUUCCGCUUCUCUGUCAGUACCUGAGGCCGGCAGCAGGGGGCAACAUGCACACAGGUAGAGGGCGCUUUCUCCCUGUCUGCACUCAUGGCCAUGGCAGAGGGGCAGGACAGGGGCACAGAGGGCUGUCCUCGGGGCUCUGUCUCAGGAAAUGCCAGUUUGCAGAGAUAAGAAGGCAGUUCCCAGGAAAGGGAAGAAGAAGGUUCUGCUGUUGACUGUUUUCUUAUCCAGAUGGCCUUUGUUGCCUGGAUACACAUCUGUCGACAAUGGCAGCAGAGACAUGGAAUGCUGCAUUCCCAUUGGCAGAGCAACAGGGGAUCUGGAAAGGAGCCAAUCAGGAGUGCCGGCUGCUCAUCCUGCACUCACAUUGGCUGACUGUGGCCGGGAAUAGAACGUUGCUGCCAUUCUCUCACUCUACAUCUCCGGGAUGUGUUUCUACCCGCAUUAUUAUGAAUGGAGGACAGUAAGCCAGUUCCAACUUUGUGGAGUUGGUUUAGCACAGGAGGCUCAAUGUGCAUCGGUCAACCUUAACAUGCUGUUUGUUUGA
Paramormyrops kingsleyae is the source of this 626-nucleotide non-coding RNA. NCBI's taxonomy places the organism in Eukaryota, Metazoa, Chordata, Actinopteri, Osteoglossiformes, Mormyridae. The record is from RefSeq and is a predicted model, not a curated record.